CCCUUAGAUGUUCUGGGCUGCACGCGCGCUACACUGAUGCGUUCAACGAGUGUACAACCUUGCCCGUUAGGGUUGGGUAAUCUUUUGAACACGCAUCGUGAUGGGGCUUGAUUAUUGCAAUUAUUAAUCAUAAACGAGGAAUUCCUAGUAAUGGCGAAUCAUCAGUUCGUCGUGAUUACGUCCCUGCCCUUUGUACACACCGCCCGUCGCACCUACCGAUUGAAUGGUCCGGUGAAAUCUCGGGACGGCGGCUUGGUCGCUUGCGUCCGACUGCUGAAACUUGAUUAAACCAUAUCAUUUAGAGGAAGGUGAAGUCGUAACA
RNAcentral lists this ribosomal RNA (322 nucleotides) under uncultured eukaryote. Its description in RNAcentral is "partial 18S ribosomal RNA". It matches the Rfam family "Eukaryotic small subunit ribosomal RNA", at positions 1470 to 1796 of the family's 1831-position model. The record is from RNAcentral.